RNAcentral lists this transfer RNA (75 nucleotides) under marine sediment metagenome. RNAcentral's name for it is "tRNA-Ile". It matches the Rfam family "tRNA". Rfam says of the family: Transfer RNA (tRNA) molecules are approximately 80 nucleotides in length. The record is from RNAcentral.
CGGAACGUAGCUCAGUCUGGGAGAGCACCAUCCUGAUAAGAUGGAGGCACGGAGGUUCAAAUCCUCUCGUUCCGA